This 373-nucleotide ribosomal RNA is filed under the name uncultured organism. RNAcentral's name for it is "partial 16S ribosomal RNA". It matches the Rfam family "Bacterial small subunit ribosomal RNA", at positions 527 to 896 of the family's 1533-position model. The record is from RNAcentral.
GUAGGUGGCAAGCGUUGUCCGGAAUUAUUGGUCGUAAAGCGCGCGCAGGCGGUUCUUUAAGUCUGAUGUGAAAGCCCACGGCUCAACCGUGGAGGGUCAUUGGAAACUGGAGAACUUGAGUACAGAAGAGGAAAGCGGAAUUCCACGUGUAGCGGUGAAAUGCGUAGAGAUGUGGAGGAACACCAGUGGCGAAGGCGGCUUUCUGGUCUGUAACUGACGCUGAGGCGCGAAAGCGUGGGGAGCAAACAGGGAUUAGAUACCCUGGUAGUCCACGCCGUAAACGAUGAGUGCUAAGUGUUAGGGGGUUUCCGCCCCCUUAGUGCUGCAGCUAACGCAUUAAGCACUCCGCCUGGGGAGUACGGCCGCAAGGCUG